Roseisalinus antarcticus is the source of this 2201-nucleotide ribosomal RNA. It matches the Rfam family "Bacterial large subunit ribosomal RNA", at positions 655 to 2925 of the family's 2925-position model. The record is from Rfam. Lineage: Bacteria; Pseudomonadati; Pseudomonadota; Alphaproteobacteria; Rhodobacterales; Roseobacteraceae.
GUUAGGUGUAGGCGCAGCGAAAGCGAGUCUUAAUAGGGCGCAUGAGUUCGUGGGAUCAGACCCGAAACCGAGUGAUCUAGGCAUGACCAGGAUGAAGGUAAGGUAACACUUACUGGAGGUCCGAACCCACACCUGUUGAAAAAGGUCGGGAUGAGUUGUGCCUAGGGGUGAAAGGCCAAUCAAACUCGGAGAUAGCUGGUUCUCUGCGAAAUCUAUUUAGGUAGAGCGUCAUCCGAAUACCCUCGGGGGUAGAGCACUGGAUGGGUAAUGGGGCCCCACAGGCUUACUGAUCCUAACCAAACUCCGAAUACCGAGGAGUACUAGAUGGCAGACACACGGCGGGUGCUAACGUCCGUCGUGGAGAGGGAAACAACCCUGACCUACAGCUAAGGCCCCUAAUUCAUGGCUAAGUGGGAAAGCAGGUGGGACGACCAAAACAACCAGGAGGUUGGCUUAGAAGCAGCCAUCCUUUAAAGAUAGCGUAACAGCUCACUGGUCUAAACAAGUUGUCCUGCGGCGAAGAUGUAACGGGGCUCAAGCCAUGAGCCGAAGCUUAGGAUGCACAUAGUGCAUGGUAGCAGAGCGUAGUGUGACAUAAUUCCAUGUCUCUACGCCAAUUCUCAGGAAUUGGCUGGGAGACGCGGAGUUUUCUGUGAAGCCGGGGCGUGAGCCAUCCGGUGGAGAGAUCACUAGCGAGAAUGAUGACAUGAGUAGCGAUAAACAGGGUGAGAGACCCUGUCGCCGAAAGUCCAAGGGUUCCUGCUUAAAGCUAAUCUGAGCAGGGUAAGCCGACCCCUAAGGCGAGGCCGAAAGGCGUAGUCGAUGGGAACCAGGUUAAUAUUCCUGGGCCAUGUGGUGGUGACGGAUCUCGAGGGUAGUUCAUCCUUAUCGGAUUGAAUGGGCUGCUUAGAGGUCCCUGGAAAUAGCCCCACUGUAAGAUCGUACCCUAAACCGACACAGGUGGACUGGUAGAGAAUACCAAGGCGCUUGAGAGAACGAUGUUGAAGGAACUCGGCAAAAUACCUCCGUAAGUUCGCGAGAAGGAGGCCCCGUUAGGACGCAAGUCUUGGCGGGGGGCACAAACCAGGGGGUGGCGACUGUUUACUAAAAACACAGGGCUCUGCGAAGUCGCAAGACGACGUAUAGGGUCUGACGCCUGCCCGGUGCUGGAAGGUUAAAAGGAGGAGUGCAAGCUCCGAAUUGAAGCCCCAGUAAACGGCGGCCGUAACUAUAACGGUCCUAAGGUAGCGAAAUUCCUUGUCGGGUAAGUUCCGACCUGCACGAAUGGCGUAACGACUUCCCCGCUGUCUCCAACAUCGACUCAGCGAAAUUGAAUUGCCUGUCAAGAUGCAGGCUUCCCGCGGUUAGACGGAAAGACCCCAUGAACCUUUACUAUAGCUUCACACUGGCAUCAGGCCAAGCAUGUGCAGGAUAGGUGGUAGGCUUUGAAGCAGGGACGCCAGUCCUUGUGGAGCCAUCCUUGAGAUACCACCCUUGCUUUGCUUGAUGUCUAACCGCGGCCCGUUAUCCGGGUCCGGGACCCUGUGUGGUGGGUAGUUUGACUGGGGCGGUCGCCUCCCAAACAGUAACGGAGGCGCGCGAAGGUUGGCUCAGACCGGUCGGAAAUCGGUCGUUGAGUGCAAUGGCAGAAGCCAGCCUGACUGCAAGACUGACAAGUCGAGCAGAGACGAAAGUCGGCCAUAGUGAUCCGGUGGUCCCGAGUGGAAGGGCCAUCGCUCAACGGAUAAAAGGUACUCUGGGGAUAACAGGCUGAUGGUGCCCAAGAGUCCAUAUCGACGGCACCGUUUGGCACCUCGAUGUCGGCUCAUCUCAUCCUGGGGCUGGAGCAGGUCCCAAGGGUAUGGCUGUUCGCCAUUUAAAGAGGUACGUGAGCUGGGUUUAGAACGUCGUGAGACAGUUCGGUCCCUAUCUGCCGUGGGUGUAGGAUACUUGAGAGGAGUUGCCCCUAGUACGAGAGGACCGGGGUGAACGGACCACUGGUGGACCUGUUGUGGCGCCAGCCGCAGUGCAGGGUAGCUAUGUUCGGAAAGGAUAACCGCUGAAGGCAUCUAAGCGGGAAGCCCCCCUCAAAACAAGGUAUCCCUGAGGACCGUGGUAGACUACCACGUCGAUAGGCCGGAGAUGUAAGCGCGGCAACGCGCUCAGUUGACCGGUACUAAUUGUCCGAUAGGCUUGAUUUG